Molecule: ribosomal RNA, 253 nt
Filed under: uncultured bacterium
Lineage: Bacteria
Description: partial 16S ribosomal RNA
Rfam family: Bacterial small subunit ribosomal RNA
Source: RNAcentral
UACAGAGGUCCCAAGCGUUGUUCGGAUUCACUGGGCGUAAAGGGUGCGUAGGUGGCGGGGUAAGUCGGAUGUGAAAUCUCCAGGCUCAACCUGGAAACGGCAUUGGAAACUACCUUGCUAGAGGAUCGGAGGGGGGACUGGAAUACUUGGUGUAGCAGUGAAAUGCGUAGAUAUCAAGUGGAACACCAGUGGCGAAGGCGAGUCCCUGGACGAUUCCUGACGCUGAGGCACGAAAGCUAGGGGAGCAAACAGG